GGACAAUGGGCGAAGCCUGAUCCAGCAAUGCCGCGUGAGUGAAGAAGGCCUUAGGGUUGUAAAGCUCUUUCGCCCGCGACGAUGAUGACGGUAGCGGGAGAAGAAGCCCCGGCUAAUUCCGUGCCAGCAGCCGCGGUAAUACGGAAGGGGCUAGCGUUGUUCGGAAUUACUGGGCGUAAAGCGCGCGUAGGCGGCUUGGCGAGUGAGGCGUGAAAGUCCUGGGCUCAACCUGGGGACGGCGCUUCAGACUGUCUGGCUUGAGUCCGGAAGAGGGUGGUGGAAUUCCGAGUGUAGAGGUGAAAUUCGUAGAUAUUCGGAGGAACACCGGUGGCGAAGGCGGCCACCUGGUCCGGAACUGACGCUGAAGUGCGAAAGCGUGGGGAGCAAACAGGAUUAGAUACCCUGGUAGUCCACGCUGUAAACGAUGGGUGCUAGAUGUUGGGAAGCUUGCUUCUCGGUGUCGUAGCCAACGCGUUAAGCACCCCGCCUGGGGAGUACGGCCGCAAGGUUA
This 511-nucleotide ribosomal RNA is filed under the name uncultured Pseudomonadota bacterium. RNAcentral describes it as "bacterial SSU rRNA". It matches the Rfam family "Bacterial small subunit ribosomal RNA", at positions 366 to 896 of the family's 1533-position model. The record is from RNAcentral. Lineage: Bacteria; Pseudomonadati; Pseudomonadota.